AGAUACCCUGUUACUUAUUAAUUAAAAAAUUUUGGAAUAGUAGUUAUUAUGAAAUUUAACUGAUUUGGCGGCAAAAUAGCCAUUUAGAGGAACCUGCCCUAUAAACGAUGAACCACGAAGUACCCUACUUUUAUUUGUAAACAGUUUGUAUACCUCUGUUGUCAGUCAGUUUUAUAAGAAAACUUUCUAUUAUGAUAAGAUCAUGAAAUUCAAGUAAAGGUGCAGCUUAUAUAAAAGAUAGAGGUGGGUUACAUUUAUAUGAUUAAAACGGAUAAAGAUAUUUGAAAAAACUUUUGAAGGCGGAUUUAAAUGUAAAGUUUAAGCAAACU
This 329-nucleotide ribosomal RNA is filed under the name Trevathana taiwanus. RNAcentral describes it as "partial 12S ribosomal RNA". Lineage: Eukaryota; Metazoa; Arthropoda; Thecostraca; Balanomorpha; Pyrgomatidae. The record is from RNAcentral.